AAAUUGAAGAGUUUGAUCAUGGCUCAGAUUGAACGCUGGCGGCAGGCCUAACACAUGCAAGUCGAGCGGAAACGAGUUAUCUGAACCUUCGGGGAACGAUAGCGGCGUCGAGCGGCGGACGGGUGAGUAAUGCCUAGGAAAUUGCCCUGAUGUGGGGGAUAACCAUUGGAAACGAUGGCUAAUACCGCAUGAUGCCUACGGGCCAAAGAGGGG
RNAcentral lists this ribosomal RNA (213 nucleotides) under Vibrio parahaemolyticus. RNAcentral describes it as "partial 16S ribosomal RNA". It matches the Rfam family "Bacterial small subunit ribosomal RNA", at positions 1 to 211 of the family's 1533-position model. The record is from RNAcentral. Lineage: Bacteria; Pseudomonadati; Pseudomonadota; Gammaproteobacteria; Vibrionales; Vibrionaceae.